This is a long non-coding RNA of Austrofundulus limnaeus, 367 nucleotides long. RefSeq lists it as uncharacterized. NCBI's taxonomy places the organism in Eukaryota, Metazoa, Chordata, Actinopteri, Cyprinodontiformes, Rivulidae. The transcript has 3 exons. The record is from RefSeq and is a predicted model, not a curated record.
AUUUGUCCUGGGACAUAGGAUACACAAGGUAAGUAUAACAAGAUAUUUUGCACUAGCAUGAAACGGCUUGAACAACUACCAAAUAGGUUAGAUGCAUCAGCGUUGAUCUUCUGGAGCCGACGCCUUAUAAAGCCUGUCAGCUCAUCAACGCAGACUCCAGAUGUCAUGGUAGCAGCAUGAAGCUUCCUGGACGUGCAGCUCGCGCGAUUGGUCGCAGGAGACAGGAAAGUCGACCAAUGGGAACGCAGUUACCAGGCAGGCUGCUGCCUUGUUCCGAGGCAGCUGGAGGCCCCUACAGCUGUUCCAUUGAAAAGCAGCAGGAGAUAAUAACAUGGGCCCCUUACCACACACACACACACACACACAC